CUCUUAGUCCCCUAAGAGUGGUUAAUUAAAUAUUUUCCUUAUUCAUUGCCCACAACUGUGGGUUGUUGUUUUUUUCCUCUAUGCACCCUAGAAAAAUUCCCAAGACUAGACUUAAGGAGGACACAAGCUGGUUAUGUAGUAAAAUAAGAGUGUCUUUUCUGUUGGAUGUUCAUUUUAGUUCCCUGAGUUCCCAGGGCAUACAAUGUUUAGAAACUUCUUUCUCUAAACAUAAGAAUUAUUGCACACCACGAUUUUGAACUACCGAUUUCCAUAUCUUAAGCAGCUAUCAACUUGCCAAUUCCCUUUGGGUCUUCUUUACAUUUUUCUUAUAAUGUUUCCUUGUGUUCUGGGUUGUCCUCAGAAAGAGUUUCGGGGGUGGGGGGGG
This 385-nucleotide long non-coding RNA is filed under the name Bos taurus (domestic cattle). Its description in RNAcentral is "long non-coding RNA NONBTAT006318". Lineage: Eukaryota; Metazoa; Chordata; Mammalia; Artiodactyla; Bovidae. The record is from RNAcentral.